This 641-nucleotide ribosomal RNA is filed under the name uncultured bacterium. RNAcentral describes it as "bacterial SSU rRNA". It matches the Rfam family "Bacterial small subunit ribosomal RNA", at positions 90 to 766 of the family's 1533-position model. The record is from RNAcentral.
UCCUAGCGGCGGACGGGUUAGUAACGCGUGGGAAUAUGCCCAAUGGUACGGAAUAGCCUCUGGAAACGGAGAGUAAUACCGUACGUGCCUUUCGAGGGAAAGAUUUAUCGCCAUUGGAUUAGCCCGCGUUGGAUUAGGUAGUUGGUGGGGUAAUGGCCUACCAAGCCUACGAUCCAUAGCUGGUUUGAGAGGAUGAUCAGCAACACUGGGACUGAGACACGGCCCAGACUCCUACGGGAGGCAGCAGUGGGGAAUCUUCGGCAAUGGGCGAAAGCCUGACCGAGCCAUGCCGCGUGAGUGAAGAAGGCCUUAGGGUCGUAAAGCUCUUUCGCCAGGGAUGAUAAUGACAGUACCUGGUAAAGAAACCCCGGCUAACUCCGUGCCAGCAGCCGCGGUAAUACGGAGGGGGUUAGCGUUGUUCGGAAUUACUGGGCGUAAAGCGCGCGUAGGCGGAUCGGAAAGUUGGGGGUGAAAUCCCGGGGCUCAACCCUGGAACUGCCUCCAAAACUAUCGGUCUUGAGUUCGAGAGAGGUGAGUGGAAUUCCGAGUGUAGAGGUGAAAUUCGUAGAUAUUCGGAGGAACACCAGUGGCGAAGGCGGCUCACUGGCUCGAUACUGACGCUGAGGUGCGAAAGUGUGGGG